CCAAGCAGGGGUGGGGGUAACGUUUUUACCUCCAUUAAUUAGCGUUUAAACCUUGUUUACUUAUUAAAUCGUUGUAUUUGAUGACUUAUGACUUAUGUCUGUAAUAUGAACACAACUUUCAAAUAAACUUUACCUGCAAAGUUGUCACUUUUUAAAACUCUGUUUAUACAGGUGUAUUUGUGGCAAGUGUGAUCAAAUGCCUACGGAGCCUGAGCAUGUAUGCUGCAGGGAGAUACCACAGACGUUACAGGUAUUUGGCGUACAGAAGCUUUGUUGGCUGGUGUUGGGGCUAUCUGGGCCGGAGAAUCAGGGUCGUCCUGCCGUCCUGAGUUGUGCUCCAGAUACGAAGAGUGUUCCCUGAUGCUCAAGGAAGGUAUACGGGGUUCAGACAUGCCCUCGAUUGAACCUUGACACAUAGCUGGCUACAACUUCCCGCUUGUCAGGUUUCUCAAACUGGGCAGAGAGAUCCGCGGGUAUUGGGAUCUUCAGCACCUCAUUCACAUAUGGGGCCGGGUCCUGAAAAACCUUGUGAAAGAUGAGGUCCAACAGGUUAUCCACGUACUCUGUAAUACAAAAAAAAAAAUCCAAAACUUUUACAUUGUUUUUAUUUAUUGUUUAUAUUGUAUUUAUUAUUUUAUUUUUAUAAUUAUUUUGCAAUUAUAUUAUUCUAUUUAUUAUGAAGACCAUUUAAAGACAGCAGUUAAUGUAUAUGUUAUUUAAGUUUCACAUACUGUUUGUACAUUGUUUGACUUGGUGGAAUUUCAAAUAAAGCCUGUGACUCACGGAA
Molecule: long non-coding RNA, 787 nt
Organism: Clupea harengus (Atlantic herring)
Lineage: Eukaryota; Metazoa; Chordata; Actinopteri; Clupeiformes; Clupeidae
Exons: 2
Source: RefSeq, a predicted model, not a curated record